This 290-nucleotide ribosomal RNA is filed under the name uncultured prokaryote. RNAcentral describes it as "partial 16S ribosomal RNA". It matches the Rfam family "Bacterial small subunit ribosomal RNA", at positions 355 to 636 of the family's 1533-position model. The record is from RNAcentral.
UGAGGAAUUUUGCGCAAUGGGAGCAAUCCUGACGCAGCAACGCCGCGUGGGUGAUGAAGGCCUUCGGGUCGUAAAGCCCUGUCAGGUGGGAAGAAUGUCCCGGGACUGAACAGGUUCCGGGAGUGACGGUACCACCAGAGGAAGCCCCGGCUAACUCCGUGCCAGCAGCCGCGGUAAUACGGAGGGUGCAGGCGUUAUUCGGAAUUACUGGGCGUAAAGCGCGUGGAGGCGGUCCUGCAAGUCGGAUGUGAAAGCCCCGGGCUUAACCCGGGAAGUGCAUUGGAAACUGU